Molecule: long non-coding RNA, 415 nt
Filed under: Rattus norvegicus (Norway rat)
Lineage: Eukaryota; Metazoa; Chordata; Mammalia; Rodentia; Muridae
Description: long non-coding RNA NONRATT018905
Source: RNAcentral
UCAGCCAGCCUUGGGGUGAGCGGCCUGUUCUGCCCUGUGCCCGAGAGGAAUGUUCGCGGUGGCAUGGGCCCGGGUCCGAGAAGAAAGGCAGCCUUGUGGGCGAAAGGGUCUCGCUGUAUAGCUUUGGCUGGCCUGGAACUCACUAUGUAGACCUGGAGAUCUCAACUCACAAAGAUCCACUUGUCUCCACCUCCAGGAUGCUUCAAUUAACAACGUGAGCCACUAGGCCCAGCCACUAGGCCCAGCCACAGAAACUUUCGUUUGUUUGUUUUGUUUUGUUUUGUUUUUUGAGACAGGAUCUCACCGAGUAGUUCUCUGACUGUCCUGGAACUUGCUCUGUAGACCAGGCUGGCCUCAAACUCAGAGAUCCACCUGCCUCUGCCUCCUGAGUGGGAUUAAAGGAGUCACCACCACC